UUAGUUAAAAUAUAAAUCAAAGUGUAUUUCAAUAAUAACUCACAUAUAUUUGGCAUAUAUUAUUUUCCAUCUAAAUCGGUUUGUCAAUUAUCAAAAACAUAUAAAUGUGAACAUACAUAUAUGUUCCAACAAUUUCCCCCUUUUUGAUAAUGGCAAACCUAUAUGCGAAUAUGCAUAUACCCUUAUAAAAACUAUGCCAAAUAUAAGACAACUUAUUAUUGAGUUCCCCC
This 230-nucleotide long non-coding RNA is filed under the name Nicotiana benthamiana. RNAcentral describes it as "long non-coding RNA (NBEN_LNC037608)". The record is from RNAcentral. Lineage: Eukaryota; Viridiplantae; Streptophyta; Magnoliopsida; Solanales; Solanaceae.